UACGUAGGGGGCUAGCGUUAUCCGGAUUCACUGGGUUUAAAGGGAGCGUAGGUGGGCGAGUAAGUCAGUGGUGAAAUCUCCGGGCUUAACCCGGAAACUGCCAUUGAUACUAUUUGUCUUGAAUGUUGUGGAGGUAAGCGGAAUAUGUCAUGUAGCGGUGAAAUGCUUAGAUAUGACAUAGAACACCAAUUGCGAAGGCAGCUGACUACACGAAUAUUGACACUGAGGCACGAAAGCGUGGGGAUCAAACAGG
RNAcentral lists this ribosomal RNA (253 nucleotides) under uncultured bacterium. RNAcentral describes it as "partial 16S ribosomal RNA". It matches the Rfam family "Bacterial small subunit ribosomal RNA", at positions 524 to 776 of the family's 1533-position model. The record is from RNAcentral.